Molecule: ribosomal RNA, 255 nt
Filed under: uncultured bacterium
Lineage: Bacteria
Description: partial small subunit ribosomal RNA
Rfam family: Bacterial small subunit ribosomal RNA
Source: RNAcentral
AGGACGAACGCUGGCGGCGUGCUUAACACAUGCAAGUCGAGCGGAAAGGCCCUUCGGGGUACUCGAGCGGCGAACGGGUGAGUAACACGUGAGUAAUCUGCCCCUAGCUCUGGGAUAGCUCCGGGAAACCGGGAUUAAAUACCAGAUACGACCACUUUAGACAUCUGUUGUGGUGGAAAGAAUUUCGGCUAGGGAUGAGCUCGCGGCCUAUCAGCUUGUUGGUGAGGUAACGGCUCACCAAGGCGACGACGGGUA